This 213-nucleotide unclassified non-coding RNA is filed under the name Glomus sp. RNAcentral describes it as "partial contains 5.8S ribosomal RNA and internal transcribed spacer 2". The stretch from base 1 to 65 matches the Rfam family "5.8S ribosomal RNA", at positions 84 to 154 of the family's 154-position model. The record is from RNAcentral. Lineage: Eukaryota; Fungi; Glomeromycota; Glomeromycetes; Glomerales; Glomeraceae.
GUGAAUCAUCAAAUUUUUGAACGCAAAUUGCACUCCCUGCGGAGAGUAUGCGUGUUUGAGGGUCAGCCUAAAAAAAAAUCGACAUAGUUGCUGUUUCGCGGUUAUAUUCUUCGGAAAUUGGGUCAUCUUUAACCUUUUGUUUUUAGGGGCUUUAAAUUUUCUUUUCUUUUCGAAUAAUGUUUCUUAGAUAUUUUUUUCUUUUAUUUUUAAGUU